CGGGCGGACGGGUGAGUAACGCGUGGAUAACCUGCCCCAUACCGGGGGAUAACAGUUAGAAAUGACUGCUAAUACCGCAUAAGCGCACGGAGCCGCAUGGCGCAGUGUGAAAAACUCCGGUGGUAUGGGAUGGAUCCGCGUCUGACUAGCUAGUUGGCGGGGUAACGGCCCACCAAGGCAGCGAUCAGUAGCCGACCUGAGAGGGUGGCCGGCCACAUUGGGACUGAGACACGGCCCAAACUCCUACGGGAGGCAGCAG
RNAcentral lists this ribosomal RNA (259 nucleotides) under uncultured bacterium. RNAcentral's name for it is "partial 16S ribosomal RNA". It matches the Rfam family "Bacterial small subunit ribosomal RNA", at positions 95 to 354 of the family's 1533-position model. The record is from RNAcentral.